GAGUUUGAUCCUGGCUCAGGAUUAAUGCUGACGGCGUGCCUAAUCUAUGUAAGUUGAUGCUUUGCGUAGCAAUACAAAAAGCAUGGCAGACGAGUGAGUAACGCGUAGGAAUCUACCCUUAAGAUGGGGAUAACCUCGGGAAACUGGGGAUAAUACCCAAUGUGAUCGCAAGAUCAAAGCGCAAGCGCUUAAGGAUGAGCCUGCGUCCUAUCAGCUAGUUGGCGGGAUAAAAGCCCACCAAGGCUAUGACGGGUAGGGGGCGUGAGAGCGUGAACCCCCACGAUGGCACUGAGAUACGGGCCAUACACCUACGGGUGGCAGCAAGUAGGAAUAUUGCACAAUGGGACGAAAGUCCUGAUGCAGCGACGCCGUGUGAAGGAAGAAGGCCUUCGGGUUGUAAACUUACGUUAAAAAGGAGCGGCAAACUUCGUGCCAGCAGCAGCGGUAAUACGGGGGCUCCUAGCAUUAUCCGGUUUUAUUGGGCGUAAAGAGUUCUGUAGGUGGUGUGGUAAGUUACAGGUUAAAACCUCCGGCUUAACCGGGGAUGUGCUUGUAAUACUGUCACACUAGAGGCAAACAGGGGAAAGUAGAACGCAUGGUGUAGUGGUAAAAUACGUUGAUAUCAUGCGGAAUACCGAAGGCGUAGGCAGCUUUCUGGGUUUGUCCUGACACUGAGAGACGAAAGCGUGGGGAGCAAAACGGAUUAGAUACCCGUGUAGUCCACGCCGUAAACUAUGUCCACUAGAUUCGUGGGGUUUGAUUUAUCAAACGUGCGUGUCGCAGUUAACACAUUAAGUGGACCGCCUGAGGAGUACGGUCGCAAGGCUAAAACUCAAAGGAAUUGACGGGGAUCCGCACAAGCGGUGGAGCGCCUGCUUUAAUUCGAUGAUAACCGAAGAACCUUACCGAGGUUUGACAUGCAACUGCAAGUCUGAUGAAAGUCAGACGCCUUCGAGGGUGUUGCACAGGUAUUGCAUGGCUGUUGUCAGCUCGUGUCGUGAGAUGUACAGUUAAGUCUGGUAACGAGCGCAACCCUUACUGCUAGUUGUAUCACUCUAGCGGAACUGCCCUGGCAACAGGGAGGAAGGCGAGGAAGACAACAAGUCAGCAUGGUCCUUAUACCUCGGGCAAGACAGGCGCUACAAUGGCCGGUACAAUGGGCAGCAACAUGGCAACAUGAAGCUAAUCUCAUAAAGCCGGUCUCAGUUCAGAUUGAGGGCUGAAACUCGCCCUCAUGAAGUUGGAAUCGCUAGUAAUCGUAGGUCAGCUAUACUACGAUGAAUACGUUCUCGGAUCUUGUACACACUGCCCGUCAAGUCAGCAGAGUUGGGAAUACCCGAAGUAUCUAUUAAUUAGGUCCUAAGGUAGGCUCAGUGAUGAGGAUUAAGUCGUAACAAGGUAGCCGUAAAUCUCUAG
Molecule: ribosomal RNA, 1416 nt
Filed under: uncultured bacterium
Lineage: Bacteria
Description: bacterial SSU rRNA
Rfam family: Bacterial small subunit ribosomal RNA
Source: RNAcentral